CCAAAGGCUCUUUUCAGAGCCACCCACAUUAUCUCUCAAAAGAUCU
Regulatory RNA element from Cavia porcellus (domestic guinea pig), 46 nucleotides. It matches the Rfam family "Histone 3' UTR stem-loop". From Rfam's summary of the family: The mRNAs of metazoan histone genes lack a poly-A tail. 3' end processing occurs at a site between a highly conserved stem-loop (modelled by this family) and a purine rich region around 20 nts downstream (the histone downstream element, or HDE). NCBI's taxonomy places the organism in Eukaryota, Metazoa, Chordata, Mammalia, Rodentia, Caviidae. The record is from Rfam.